This is a long non-coding RNA of Orbicella faveolata, 226 nucleotides long. The record is from RefSeq and is a predicted model, not a curated record. Lineage: Eukaryota; Metazoa; Cnidaria; Anthozoa; Scleractinia; Merulinidae.
UAAAAAAUACAAGAAUUUGUGGUCUGGUUGGGGAAAAAGAUACUUCAAGCUGGAAAGAAUGUACCUGCAUUACUUUGAGUCCAAAGAUUACGGAGUGCACUAUUGGGAUGGUCUGGGGGUUGACGUCUGCUAAAGCACUAUGGCUAUAAGGCUCCAAGCCCUGUUAAUACUGUCACAAGAGGUGAUAUUGAUGCUGUAAAGUCAUCUACCUCUUUCCCAAACAGAC